Molecule: ribosomal RNA, 305 nt
Filed under: uncultured bacterium
Lineage: Bacteria
Description: bacterial SSU rRNA
Rfam family: Bacterial small subunit ribosomal RNA
Source: RNAcentral
AUAAACCUACGGGGGGCAGCAGUGGGGAAUAUUGGGCAAUGGGCGCAAGCCUGACCCAGCAACGCCGCGUGAAGGAAGAAGGCUUUCGGGUUGUAAACUUCUUUUAUCAGGGACGAAGCAAGUGACGGUACCUGAUGAAUAAGCCACGGCUAACUACGUGCCAGCAGCCGCGGUAAUACGUAGGUGGCAAGCGUUAUCCGGAUUUACUGGGUGUAAAGGGCGUGUAGGCGGGAGUGCAAGACAGAUGUGAAAAAUAUGGGCUCAAACCAUAGCCUGCAUUUGAAACUGUACUUCUUGAGUGCUGG